Sutterella wadsworthensis CAG:135 is the source of this 91-nucleotide non-coding RNA. NCBI's taxonomy places the organism in Bacteria, Pseudomonadati, Pseudomonadota, Betaproteobacteria, Burkholderiales, Sutterellaceae. The record is from Rfam.
CCGCCCGAGGAGCGCUGCGACGCCGUGAGACCACGUUUCACUGCGCCAGGCUCGAGCUGACGGACUUUUCCUGCAACGGCGCUCGGACCUU